This is a non-coding RNA of Strongyloides stercoralis, 45 nucleotides long. The record is from Rfam. NCBI's taxonomy places the organism in Eukaryota, Metazoa, Nematoda, Chromadorea, Rhabditida, Strongyloididae.
CCAACGGCCCUCUUUAGGGCCACUCUUUUGAUCUUAUUGUUUCAU